AGCAGCCGCGGUAAUUCCAGCUCCAAUAGCGUAUAUUAAAGUUGUUGCAGUUAAAAAGCUCGUAGUUGAAUUUCGGGAUCAAUAUGUUGGUCGUGCCUCGGUACGUACUAGCAUAUUGGUUUCUCCUUUCUGAAGAACCAUGAUGUCAUUUAUUUGGUGUCGUGGGGAAUCAGGACUGUUACUUUGAAAAAUUAGAGUGUUUAAAGCAGGCUCACGCUUGAAUACAUUAGCAUGGAAUAAUGAAAUAGGACGUUUGAUUCUAUUUUGUUGGUUUCUAGGAUCGACGUAAUGAUUAAUAGGGAUAGUUGGGGGCAUUAGUAUUCAAUUGUCAGAGGUGAAAUUCUUGGAUUUAUUGAAGACUAACUACUGCGAAAGCAUUUGCCAAGGAUGUUUUCAUUAAUCAAGAACGAAAGUUAGGGGAUCGAAGACGAUCAGAUACCGUCGUAGUCUU
This 451-nucleotide ribosomal RNA is filed under the name uncultured Glomus. RNAcentral describes it as "SSU rRNA". It matches the Rfam family "Eukaryotic small subunit ribosomal RNA", at positions 569 to 1027 of the family's 1831-position model. The record is from RNAcentral. Lineage: Eukaryota; Fungi; Glomeromycota; Glomeromycetes; Glomerales; Glomeraceae.